UUGGGAAGCAACGGCUUUAAAAAUACCUAAAUUAGACUGCAUGUUUACUAAAACUGUGGUGCUGUUAAGCCUUUGUUUUUUCCCAAUUCUAAUCCCACUGCUGCUGGUUAUUUCUACUGUUGCUCAUACACACUUGUCAUAUUGGAGAAAAUGUACCCCUGCAUGGAUUUGCAAAAAAGAUUAUGUUGUCCCUCAGUCUUACUGGCCUUACUGGACUGUUUUUUUCAACAGGGUUGACUUUACCACAAUUACUUACCAGGGUACUGAUCCAAAGAAGCAAGUCGUUUUGCAGAGAUCUGUUAAUUUUCUCCCAUUUGAGGGUGUUCUUCCCUGACCGUGCUGGUGACAGAGCAAUACAAUACCCAGUGCUCUUAGCACAGGUACGUGGCAUGUUGAGGGUUUGUCUGAGCUCUCAGUGCAUUUCCAGUUUUUAAUUAAUGCCUCUUGUAGCCUCACUUUGCUUUUGUGUAGCUCAGUCCUGA
Non-coding RNA from Lonchura striata (white-rumped munia), 482 nucleotides. The record is from RefSeq and is a predicted model, not a curated record. NCBI's taxonomy places the organism in Eukaryota, Metazoa, Chordata, Aves, Passeriformes, Estrildidae.